Molecule: long non-coding RNA, 2896 nt
Organism: Cavia porcellus (domestic guinea pig)
Lineage: Eukaryota; Metazoa; Chordata; Mammalia; Rodentia; Caviidae
Exons: 2
Source: RefSeq, a predicted model, not a curated record
CUCCAGCCCGGCUGUGCUCUCGGCGACUUGCAGUCUCCAGAGCAGCGCGGGCUCGGUGACCCAGGCCGGGCCGCCAGCAGAACUGGGAUCCGAUCCUGCGGCCGGGAGAGGCGGGGCUGGGCCUCCAUGGAGGUUCCCGGAGCUGGACCUUCCUGGCACCUUUUGAGAGAGUGAGACGUCUGCUUCCCAGGCAUGGCGUUAAAAUCCUUCUGCUUGGAUUUUUAAGCUUCAUCCUGGCCAACCUGUAAAGACAAGCCCACUUUUCACAGCGCCAAGUCCCCAGAGUUUCAGAGCUGCUGCUUUAACUCUGACAGCCCAGAGUGGCCCUGCAGCCCUCUCCUUCUGGCUCAGAGGUGACUCUCCAGCUGCGGCCCCUGCAGCCUCUUCCUGCCUGUUGAACACAUCCUGCAGGAUUCCCUGCGUUUUGCUGACUGUGGCUGUCACUUGCACCUGUCCAGGCCCAGCAGGAGACAACUCUGAGUGUCGAUGUGGUCUCGGGGUGCUGGGCUGUGUGAAUGCUUGGUUAAUCAUGCAUUAGAGAAACCCAGAUCCAACGGCAGGGCCAGCAGCGUCGUCAUUUCCAAUACUGAUGACAUUAAACCAGACUUCAGAGUGUGCGCCACAGCCCCAGGAGGAUAAGGAACUGGGUGACAAGGUCCAAAGUCAUGAGGGCUACACGGCAGCCACCCAAGGGUGGGAUGUUCACGUCACAGCUCACCUGCCAGGCUGAGACCAGCUGCCAAGGCUGUAGGCAGCUGGAUAGGCUGUGCUCAUGUGUGCAUGCAUGUGUGUGACUGUCCCACACCACGGGAGGGUGUGUUGAAGACCCUUUAGCACAGCCUGAGCAUACCCUCCUCUGGCACCUGCCCAUGCCACUCCAUCCCCACUGUCACCUGUCAACCUGGCAGGGAGGCCGAACUCUGUCCCAAUUCCCUAACUAGAAAGAGCCCUUUCUGCCCCCUAGCCUGAUCGUACAGGCCUGGGGCACCUCUCUGUCCCCCAGCUUCCUCUGGGACUCUGUGGGGACCAGUGGGUCUCUGUCCUCAGAGGCCUUGAGAUGCAUGCAGAGGGGCUAUGCUGGAACCGGGGCCUCCUGUCCCCUAGAUGGACUCUGCUGUGUCCACUUUCGGCCUCAAAUCAGGCCAGGGACGAUCAUUGCAUUCCACACCCCGACCUGUGGGUGCCACUGCUCUAGAUGUUACCCUGAAACAUGGUUAGAGAAGUCGGUGGUUGAAUCAAUAGAUUUUGGCAUUUGCAGGAAAAUGGGUGGAACUGACUGAGAUGAUCCCUGCAAGCAAAACAAGCUGGUGAGGAAUCUUUUUUAAAAAUGAGAGGUUAGAGAAAAUAGAAAGCAGAUGAUUAGAGAUGAGGAAGGGGCUGGGGUAGAGGAGACAGAAGGGUUAAGAGGAGUUGAAAAUGAUCAGAGUGUGUGGUGCGUAGGUGCCAGCACCCCUAAAUGAACUCCAGCCUUGUGCAUUCUUAUACUCACUGAUCAAAUUAAAGAAGCGAACAGAGCAGCAGACUUAAACAGAGUGAUGGGCUCCACAGAGCUGAGCGGGACUGGGCUGCUAGGCGGGGUCAGCCCUAAACACCGGGGAUCACUGCACAGGCCGGAGUGGAGCAGGUGGCUACGGGCUCCAACGCUGCACCGCUGGCUGCUUAGGGGAUCAAUGGGGGCGGGACAGGAGGGAAGCCCAGAAGAAAGAGCCUCAAACGCCAGUCCUCCCCGGGGCUGCUGUCCAAUGCAAGUGCUCUCGGUCCCCAAGAACAGCUUAUCCACCAAAUGGAACUGUCACAUUGGAACCUCUGGAGGCCUAGGAAUGUAUGGGUCAUCAAAAUAAUGCAAAUAAAUUUGGUUUUGGAAAUGGAGAGGAGGGAAGAAUCCAACGUGAGCUGGUGAGUGUCCAUAAUGAGUGAAACAUGACCUAGCUUCCUGCGACCCUCCUAUCUUAUUCCCUAGGAAGUCUGAGGGCAACAUUUGGCCUAAAAGAAAAUGGAGUGCUAAAGUAAAUCUUCAACUGGGAGGACUUCCAGUUUUUCUGUUAUAUUACCCAACUAGCUUUAAAAUAGUGUUCCAGUGCCUGAAACUUGGAAAUUCUUAUAUUUUUCUCUUUAUGAUGAUCAAGGACUUAAAAAGGACCUGAUCCAACUUUAACUUUCCUUUUAGAGUCUAUGCCAUAAAUUAGUGAUUAAUAACAAAUAACAUUUUUAAUAUUUAAUGUGUACCGGGAACCAUGAGGUGCUUUGUGUAUGUUAUCUUAUGUUAAUAAGAUCACUUCGUGUAUCAUUAUGGCAAUAAUGGGUAUCAUUUCUUGACAGUUUACCUCUAACCACAAUCUCCUGGGGACACGAUGACUCCCCAGGCUCAGAAAACUGUGCCCCAAGCCAAAAAAAAAAAAAUGUAGGAAAUGGAUUAGCCAAAGCGAAAUGCAGGUCUCUAAUUUCAAAUUUUGCUCUUUCCACAAUACAUUAGGCUAUCAAUUAGCGUUCCUCCUGGACUAAAACUUUUAAUUUCCCAUUUCUUUUGAACAUAUUACUCAGAGACUAUUUGCAAAUCUCUUGCUUGUCUUUUCCUAUCCUUCUUGACUUCUUAUUGAGCAUAAAUGUUUUAAAUGUUUGAGGAACCCGAUUUAGUGUGUGUGUGUGUUUAUGGACUGUAAAUUUGGGUUCAUGUCUAAGAAAUCUUUGCCUAACUCAAAAUCUCAAAGAUUUUAAGUUUUCUUCUAAGACUUUUGUGCUAUUAGCUUUACAGUUAAGUCUAUGGUACAUUUGGUGUUAAUUUUGUCACUCACUGAUGGAAGUAUAUACAAGUUCACCUACGGAGACAGUUCAGCAGUGUCGUGUAAUUUUCAGUAUAUAAUGCUUGUGCUUCUUCAGAUAAAUUUACUCCUAAGCA